UUUUGCGCAAUGCUCGUAAGAGUGACGCAGCGACGCCGCGUGAAUGACGAAGGCCUUCGGGUCGUAAAGUUCUUUCGACAGGGAAGAAAAUGCCUAUAAGUAACUGUGUAUGUAUUGACGGUACCUGUAUAAGCAGCCCCGGCUAACUCCGUGCCAGCAGCCGCGGUAAUACGGAGGGGGCGAGCGUUGUUCGGAGUGACUGGGCGUAAAGAGCACGUAGGCGGUGUUGUAAGUCAUUAGUCAAAGACUAGAGCUCAACUUUAGUAAGGCUAGUGAUACUAUAAUACUAGAGUAUCAGAGAGGAUUGCAGAAUUCCUGGUGUAGCGGUAAAAUGCGUAGAUAUCAGGAGGAAUACCGUUAGCGAAGGCGGCAAUCUGGCUGGAAACUGACGCUGAGGUGCGAAAGCGUGGGUAGCAAACAGGA
Molecule: ribosomal RNA, 423 nt
Filed under: uncultured bacterium
Lineage: Bacteria
Description: bacterial SSU rRNA
Rfam family: Bacterial small subunit ribosomal RNA
Source: RNAcentral